CAGGCCUAACACAUGCAAGUCGAGCGGUAUUUCUUCUUCGGAAGAGAGAGAGCGGCAUACGGGUGCGUAACACGUGUGCAACCUACCUUUAUCUGGGGAAUAGCCUUUCGAAAGGAAGAUUAAUACCCUAUAAUAUAUUGAAUGGCAUCAUUUAAUAUUGAAAACUCCGGUGGAUAGAGAUGGGCACGCGCAAGAUUAGAUAGUUGGUGAGGUAACGGCUCACCAAGUCAAUGAUCUUUAGGGGUCCUGAGAGGGAGAUCCCCCACACUGGUACUGAGACACGGACCAGACUCCUACGGGAGGCAGCAGUGAGGAAUAUUGGACAAUGGGUGAAAGCCUGAUCCAGCCAUCCCGCGUGAAGGAUGACGGUCCUAUGGAUUGUAAACUUCUUUUGUACAGGAAUAACCUACUCUCGUGAGAGUAGCUGAAGGUACUGUACGAAUAAGCACCGGCUAACUCCGUGCCAGCAGCCGCGGUAAUACGGAGGGUGCAAGCGUUAUCCGGAUUUAUUGGGUUUAAAGGGUCCGUAGGCGGACCCGUAAGUCAGUGGUGAAAUCUCAUAGCUCAACUAUGAAACUGCCAUUGAUACUGCGGGUCUUGAGUAAAUUUGAAGUGGCUGGAAUAAGUAGUGUAGCGGUGAAAUGCAUAGAUAUUACUUAGAACACCAAUUGCGAAGGCAGGUCACUAAGAUUUAACUGACGCUGAGGGACGAAAGCGUGGGUAGCGAACAGGAUUAGAUACCCUGGUAGUCCACGCCGUAAACGAUGCUAACUCGUUUUUGGAUCUUCGGAUUCAGAGACCAAGCGAAAGUGAUAAGUUAGCCACCUGGGGAGUACGAUCGCAAGAUUUGAAACUCAA
This 858-nucleotide ribosomal RNA is filed under the name uncultured bacterium. RNAcentral's name for it is "bacterial SSU rRNA". It matches the Rfam family "Bacterial small subunit ribosomal RNA", at positions 43 to 904 of the family's 1533-position model. The record is from RNAcentral.